AUUGAACGCUGGCGGCAUGCUUUACACAUGCAAGUCGAACGGUAACAGGCCUUCGGGUGCUGACGAGUGGCGAACGGGUGAGUAAUGCAUCGGAACGUACCCAGAGGUGGGGGAUAACGCAGCGAAAGCUGUGCUAAUACCGCAUGUGAUCUGAGGAUGAAAGCGGGGGACCGAGCAGCAAUGUUUGGCCUCGCGCCUUUGGAGCGGCCGAUGUCGGAUUAGCUAGUUGGUGGGGUAAAGGCCUACCAAGGCGACGAUCUGUAGCUGGUCUGAGAGGACGACCAGCCACACUGGGACUGAGACACGGCCCAGACUCCUACGGGAGGCAGCAGUGGGGAAUUUUGGACAAUGGGCGCAAGCCUGAUCCAGCAAUGCCGCGUGCGGGAAGAAGGCCUUCGGGUUGUAAACCGCUUUUGGCAGGAACGAAACGGUGUCCGCUAAUACCGGGCGCUAAUGACGGUACCUGCAGAAUAAGCACCGGCUAACUACGUG
Molecule: ribosomal RNA, 492 nt
Filed under: uncultured bacterium
Lineage: Bacteria
Description: partial 16S ribosomal RNA
Rfam family: Bacterial small subunit ribosomal RNA
Source: RNAcentral